UUUGGUAACAGGUGAAAGACUCGUACGAAAAUAUCAAUAAAAGUUACUCUUUUCUCUCUCAAUCUCUUAUCAAACCCUAGAACAAUUCUGUACAAAUUUACUUUUCUGCAAUCAACAUGGUAUCAGAGCGAGGGAUAUCAUAGAGUGGGAUCUGUUCUAUCCUCCGAUAUUACCCCAUUCAAUUUCAUCGGAUUUGUGAUCUUUCGGCAUGGUUCGUCAGUUUCGACAAAUUCUGAUUUUUUGGCAAUUUUUUUGCGCAGUUUUGUUGAGGAUAAUCAUUUUGUGUUUCUUCCGGUGAUUUGCUGUGAAAUUUUGGUUCUUUUACAAGUUCCUCGUGAAUCUAGGGUUUCCUAUUGGUGAAGGGGGUACUUUACUUCGCGACUCUCUUCUUUUGAAGGUCGUACAUCUCCGGUUGCGAUGAGGAUCGGUACUUGAAGGGUACUUCUGAACAUGGGAUCUUCUUGAAUGCCUCACCAGACUUGUUUGUUUCUGCUUUCUGUGACAGUGAUUGGGCUGCCUGUCUGACACUAAGCAAUCUGCCUCAGGUUAUUGUAUUUUAUUGGGCGGUAGCCUUGUGGUUUGGAAGUCUAAGAAGUAGCCCAUUGUUAGCAUGUCCUCUGCUAAAGCUAAGUAUAGAGCCAUGAAUAAAGGCGUGGCUGAGCUGGCCUGAUUGUCUAGAUUGCUUGCUGACUUGGGUCUUCCUUGCUCUUCCUAUAUACUUUAUUUUGUGCCAGUCAAGCUGCAAUCCACAUUGCUAGAAACCCAAUUUUCCAUGAAAGAACCAAAUAUAUCCAGUUGGAUUGUUAUCUGGUUCAUACCAAGCUUGUUGAGGGUUUGAUUCAUUUGGUACACACUUCUUCUUCUACUCAGUUGGCUGACCUCUUCACUAAGCCACUUCCAGGUGCUGCUCAUCAUGUUUUUUUUUUUUGCUCAAUCUCUUAUCAAACCCUAGAACAAUUUUGUACAAAUUUACUUCGAUUUUCCUUAAUCAACAGGGAUGGGGUGCAGAAUGAUGGUUUUUUUUUUUAAAUUUCAAAAUAAUGAUGCCCAGAUGUAUACUUUUAUAUUUAUAAAGAGAAAAAAAAAAGAAUGAGAUAGAGACGGAUAUGUACAAUGUUAUCCAUGUGUUCAUGUGAACCUUCAAAAUCUAUUAAGUAUGUAUUAAGAAAUUCAUUAAA
Long non-coding RNA from Nicotiana tabacum (common tobacco), 1178 nucleotides. RefSeq lists it as uncharacterized. Lineage: Eukaryota; Viridiplantae; Streptophyta; Magnoliopsida; Solanales; Solanaceae. The record is from RefSeq and is a predicted model, not a curated record.